AGCAUGAGACUUUGGCAAGCCAAACAGAAGAACAUCACAAAUAUCUCAUAUAGACAAGCAUCACAAGCAUAAUAAGCACAUCAAAUAACAAGGCAAAAACAUUUAAUGAACAGGCUACUUCUUUCAUUCAUUAGUCAUAAUCAAUAUAAUUAAGUUGGUUGUCCAUAUAUCACUUGUAGGUGCGGGGGAACCUACAAGGAGUAGCGGGACAAGUACUCACCAUGAUAGUGGCUAGCUAUACCGAUUGCUUCAUGGUAGUCAACUAGUCACUCCCUCCUAAAGAGCAUUAGGAACACAAU
Molecule: unclassified non-coding RNA, 299 nt
Filed under: Hevea brasiliensis (rubber tree)
Lineage: Eukaryota; Viridiplantae; Streptophyta; Magnoliopsida; Malpighiales; Euphorbiaceae
Source: RNAcentral